RNAcentral lists this RNase P RNA (391 nucleotides) under Phytoamicus setariae. Its description in RNAcentral is "Rhizobium setariae Bacterial RNase P class A". It matches the Rfam family "Bacterial RNase P class A". Rfam says of the family: Ribonuclease P (RNase P) is a ubiquitous endoribonuclease, found in archaea, bacteria and eukarya as well as chloroplasts and mitochondria. Its best characterised activity is the generation of mature 5'-ends of tRNAs by cleaving the 5'-leader elements of precursor-tRNAs. Lineage: Bacteria; Pseudomonadati; Pseudomonadota; Alphaproteobacteria; Hyphomicrobiales; Rhizobiaceae. The record is from Rfam by way of RNAcentral.
CCAGUUGGCCGGGCAGCCGCGCUUUGCAUUGUCGAAAGACCGCAGGGUGAGGAAAGUCCGGGCUCCACGGAAACACGGCGCCGGAUAACGUCCGGCGGGGGCGACCCCAGGGAAAGUGCCACAGAGAACGAACCGCCCGGCUUGCCGGGUAAGGGUGAAAAGGUGGGGUAAGAGCCCACCGCGGAUCUGGCGACAGAGACGGCAUGGCAAACCCCGCCGGGAGCAAGACCGAAUAGGGAUGGCGCGCAUGCGCAAGCAUCAGGCCUGUUUCCGGGCCAGCCAUCCGGGUGGGUUGCGAGAGGCGGCGCGCAAGCGUCGUCCCAGAUGAAUGGCUGCCACGUUCCGGGAAACCGGAGCCUUACAGAACCCGGCUUACAGGCCAACUGGCAUU